Humulus lupulus (European hop) is the source of this 2418-nucleotide long non-coding RNA. RefSeq lists it as uncharacterized. The record is from RefSeq and is a predicted model, not a curated record. The transcript has 2 exons. NCBI's taxonomy places the organism in Eukaryota, Viridiplantae, Streptophyta, Magnoliopsida, Rosales, Cannabaceae.
AGCCGCCUACACUCUUACUUUCUCUCAUUUUCUCAUCUUUCCCAUCUGAGCACCUAGUUUCCUCCGAUGACUUCCUCCGAUGACAAUAGCCACCGUAGAUAAGGACAUUGCUGCUACUUCCCUUCAAAGUCCUCUUUCAUCAAAAUCGUUGUUGCUGAGUCGAAGCUUUGGGAGGACGGAGAUCCGUCUCUCUCACGUUGAACUCGACCCCUCUCUCACGGUGAACUGGACUCACUAUCUCAGCAUCUCUCUUAGGUAUUCUUCGAUUGGAGUGUUAAGUGGUGGAUUUGAGCAGUUGUUGGCAAAUUGAAAUGGCUGGUGACAGAUUGUAGGCUGCAACAGUUGGUGAUGAAUUGAGCGGCUUUACAAAUUUGCUUGUUGAGGUAUUCCAACGAUUUUCCCUAAUGAAAAUCUCCAAAUCUGAAGGAUUAGUGAUGAGAUGUCUUGUUUGAGGUAGUUAUUCUGAUAUGAGUAUAGCUAUUUGUUUGUUAGUUUGUAUUUUGAGUUUAAUUUUGGGAGAUUUAAGUGUGGUUUAGUAUGGUUUUCCUUGCAAUUUCUUGUGUAGUUUCAAGAGCCUUAGAAAUAUAGAAUUGUUCUAACUCUAUUGUGUAUGAAUUUUAAUAGUUUUAUUGGGAAUAUAUUUGUUUGUUAGUUUGUAUUUUGAAUUUAAUUUUGGGAGAUUUAAGUGUGGUUUAGUCUAGUUUUCCUUGCAAUUUCUUGUGUAGUUUCAAGAGCCUUAGAAAUAUAGAAUUGUUCUAACUCUAUUGUGUAUGAAUUUUAAUAGUUUUAUUGGGAAUAUAUAGUUUUCUAGAGUUAAUAAUAUGCAUAUUUUUGUUACUCAAGCACUGCAUGAUGUUUCAUACUCCCAACAAGCUCAAGCUUCUGUUAGAUAGUUGCACUUUUGUUUUUCACGAGCCAAAUGGCUUUUAGAUUGUUUGGAGGCUUUGGAUAUUUCGGACUGGCUGGUGGAAUUGAGGUUUCCAGAUUGAUUAUUUUGAGGUAUUUUUGUAUGAUCACAAUGACUAAAUCCCCAAUAUUAUGAAGGAUUAAUGAUGUUCAUUAUUUUGAGGCAUAUUUUCUUUCAAUGUUUGUGUAUUUCCAUGUACUCUGGAUUUGUGGUUAUCAGAUUGAAUACUUUGAAUAUUUUUCUGAUAUUUAUAUUAGAUUUAGGAGUUUUUUGUUCUGCCAUAUUUGUUGUAUUUGGAUUUAUAUUGCUUUGAGGCUUUAGGUACCCUACUUUUGAUAUUGGUUUUAUAAGGUACAUUUGAGCUACUUUUAUCUGCCUUAAUUUUCUAGUAUAUUGUUGGCUAUGUUGAUCCUUGUUCUCUCAGUAAGCCGUCUUUGAUCUUGAGGCCCUUUGUUCUCUGUAAGUAAUUUUUUCUCUGUUUAUUGUUUAGAAUAUGUGUAGUUAGUAAUAUCUGUUUUGGAUUGCUUUGUUUGGAUUGAGGAUUUUGGAUUGCUUGGACGCAUUGAGGGUUUUGGAUUGCUUGGAGGCUAUGAAUUUUUCGGACUGGCUGGUGGAUUUGAGAUUUUCGGAUUGAGGUAUUUUGUAUGAUCACAAUGACUAAAUCCCCAAAAGUCUGAAGGAUUAGUGAUGUUUCAUUAAUCUGAGGCAUAUUUUUCCAUGUUUGUGUAUUUCCAUGUGUUUUGGAUUUUAGGUUUUCGAAUUGCAUAGUGUAUUGUUUAUAUAUUUUUUUAUAUUGAUAGAUUGCAUAGAAUAUUGUUUGUAUUUAUUUUUUAUAUGGUGUCUUAAUUGUUUUUAUAAUCUAAAAUAUUGAUGAUUCAAUGCACUCAUUUUUGUGCUAUUUUUGCUCUGUAAGUGUUCUAGUUAUUUUUUAUAUGGUGUCUUAAUUUAGUUUAUAAUAUGAAUGAUUGAUGAUUCAAUUCUCUAUUUUUUGUGCUAUUUUUGCUCUGUAAUUGCUCAAGUUAUUUUUACUCAAUUUUGUGUUGCUUUCUUUGUGCAUUAUUCUUUCAUUAUGAAGAUGUAAAAGUUUUGUUUGAUUUUUGAAACCUAGAUAUUAUAAUGUAUAAUCUCAUUGAAGUUCUUGAUGUCUUGUUGCUUGUUUCUUGUGAUAUCAUCAAUAAACUGAUACUUUGUUGCUAUAUUCAGAUAUGGAGUUUUUUUAUGUACUUUGUUCUCGAUAUUGAUAUUCAGAUUUAGGAUGUAGAUUAAUUUGAUAAGUUUACUGCAUUAGUGAAUCUGAUUCUUUGUUCAUGUACUCAGUUUUAGAUGUUUGGCUGGUUGGGUAAUUUGUUUCUAAUAUUUGUUUUCAUAUUUAGAUAUUUGGUUUCUGAUAAUGUUUAUAGAUUAUAUGGUUGCUAUAAUGUUUAAUUUUAAGUUGAGAUUAGUGACAUUACAACUUUUGCUCUUCAGUUGCAAUUUGAUUUUUUUUAGCAUGCUUUGCUUUCUGGUUUGUA